Molecule: non-coding RNA, 28 nt
Filed under: Rattus norvegicus (Norway rat)
Lineage: Eukaryota; Metazoa; Chordata; Mammalia; Rodentia; Muridae
Source: RNAcentral
UGGGUAACGAGUGGACUAUCUUAACUGC